This 255-nucleotide ribosomal RNA is filed under the name uncultured Rhizophagus. RNAcentral's name for it is "partial large subunit ribosomal RNA". It matches the Rfam family "Eukaryotic large subunit ribosomal RNA", at positions 359 to 604 of the family's 3401-position model. Lineage: Eukaryota; Fungi; Glomeromycota; Glomeromycetes; Glomerales; Glomeraceae. The record is from RNAcentral.
GAAAGAUGAAAAGAACUUUGAAAAGAGAGUUAAAUAGUACGUGAAAUUGUUGAAAGGGAAACGAUUGAAGCCAGUCGUACCUGCGGGUAAUCAGCCUUUUGGGCAUGAUUCUGUGGAGCGUGAGGAGUUAAACGCCUUCAUGCCUGCAUAUUCGUGUACUUUGGGUGUACUUGCCUGUGUGGUUAGUUAACAUCAAUUUUGGUUAUCAUAAAAUGGUUGGAGGAAAGUAGCUUCGAUUUCGAUUGAAGUGUUAUA